RNAcentral lists this ribosomal RNA (442 nucleotides) under uncultured bacterium. RNAcentral describes it as "partial 16S ribosomal RNA". It matches the Rfam family "Bacterial small subunit ribosomal RNA", at positions 338 to 795 of the family's 1533-position model. The record is from RNAcentral.
CCUACGGGCGGCAGCAGUAGGGAAUCUUUCACAAUGGGCGAAAGCCUGAUGGAGCAACGCCGCGUGCAGGAUGAAGGCCUUCGGGUUGUAAACUGCUUUUAUAAGCGAGAAAUAUGAUGGUAACUUAUGAAUAAGGAUCGGCUAACUACGUGCCAGCAGCGGCGGUCAUACGUAGGAUCCGAGCAUUAUCCGGAGUGACUGGGUGUAAAGAGUUGCGUAGGUGGGAUAGUAAGUGGCUGGUGAAAUAUGGUGGCUCAACCAUUCAGACUAUUAGCUAAACUGCUAAGCUCGAGACCGUUAGAGGUAACUGGAAUUUCUAGUGUAGGGGUGAAAUGCGUAGAUAUUAGAAGGAACACCGAUAGCGUAGGCAGGUUACUGGGACGGUACUGACACUAAGGCACGAAAGCGUAGGUAGCAAACGGGAUUAGAUACCCCGGUAGUC